GAGUUUGAUCCUGGCUCAGGAUGAACGCUGGCGGUAUGCUUAACACAUGCAAGUCGAACGAUGUGGGGACGUAGCAAUGCUACGUCUGUACAUAGUGGCGGACGGGUGAGUAACGCGUGAGAAUCUAGCUUCAGGUUCGGGACAACAUUGGGAAACCGAUGCUAAUACCGGAUGUGCCGAGAGGUGAAAGGCUAGCCGCCUGAAGAAGAGCUCGCGUCUGAUUAGCUAGUUGGUGGUGUAAGGGACUACCAAGGCGACGAUCAGUAGCUGGUCUGAGAGGAUGAUCAGCCACACUGGAACUGAGACACGGUCCAGACUCCUACGGGAGGCAGCAGUGGGGAAUUUUCCGCAAUGGGCGAAAGCCUGACGGAGCAAUACCGCGUGAGGGAGGAAGGCUCUUGGGUUGUAAACCUCUUUUCUCAAGGAAGAAGUUCUGACGGUACUUGAGGAAUCAGCAUCGGCUAACUCCGUGCCAGCAGCCGCGGUAAUACGGAGGAUGCAAGCGUUAUCCGGAAUGAUUGGGCGUAAAGCGUCCGCAGGUGGUUGUGUGUGUCUAUUGUCAAAGCAUCAUGCUUAACAUGAUAAAGGCAGUAGAAACUACACGACUAGAGUGCGUUCGGGGCAGAGGGAAUUCCUGGUGUAGCGGUGAAAUGCGUAGAGAUCAGGAAGAACACCGGUGGCGAAAGCGCUCUGCUAGGCCGCAACUGACACUGAGGGACGAAAGCUAGGGGAGCGAAUGGGAUUAGAUACCCCAG
Molecule: ribosomal RNA, 755 nt
Filed under: uncultured bacterium
Lineage: Bacteria
Description: bacterial SSU rRNA
Rfam family: Bacterial small subunit ribosomal RNA
Source: RNAcentral